AUCAGGCGGAUACCUGUGCAAUGUUGCC
RNAcentral lists this small RNA (28 nucleotides) under Bombyx mori (domestic silkworm). Its description in RNAcentral is "ovarian small RNA-12428". The record is from RNAcentral. Lineage: Eukaryota; Metazoa; Arthropoda; Insecta; Lepidoptera; Bombycidae.